UCACGGGAUAGGCUGGCCAGCCGACAAGCGAAACGCCUUUCUUCGCUUCCCGUGAAUUUUAUUCUGAAAGG
Molecule: non-coding RNA, 71 nt
Filed under: unclassified sequences
Description: int-alpA RNA
Rfam family: int-alpA RNA
About the family: Acidobacteria (1 example), Planctomycetes (1 example), Proteobacteria.
Source: Rfam by way of RNAcentral